RNAcentral lists this ribosomal RNA (519 nucleotides) under uncultured bacterium. Its description in RNAcentral is "partial 16S ribosomal RNA". It matches the Rfam family "Bacterial small subunit ribosomal RNA", at positions 355 to 866 of the family's 1533-position model. The record is from RNAcentral.
UGGGGAAUUUUGGACAAUGGGCGCAAGCCUGAUCCAGCAAUGCCGCGUGCAGGAUGAAGGCCUUCGGGUUGUAAACUGCUUUUGUACGGAACGAAAAGCCUCUCUCUAAUACAGGGGGGUGAUGACGGUACCGUAAGAAUAAGCACCGGCUAACUACGUGCCAGCAGCCGCGGUAAUACGUAGGGUGCAAGCGUUAAUCGGAAUUACUGGGCGUAAAGCGUGCGCAGGCGGUUUUGUAAGACAGUGGUGAAAUCCCCGGGCUCAACCUGGGAACUGCCAUUGUGACUGCAAGGCUGGAGUGCGGCAGAGGGGGGAUGGAAUUCCGCGUGUAGCAGUGAAAUGCGUAGAUAUGCGGAGGAACACCGAUGGCGAAGGCAAUCCCCUGGGCCUGCACUGACGCUCAUGCACGAAAGCGUGGGGAGCAAACAGGAUUAGAUACCCUGGUAGUCCACGCCCUAAACGAUGUCAACUGGUUGUUGGGGAUUUAUUUCUUCAGUAACGAAGCUAACGCGUGAAGUU